Molecule: long non-coding RNA, 618 nt
Filed under: Bos taurus (domestic cattle)
Lineage: Eukaryota; Metazoa; Chordata; Mammalia; Artiodactyla; Bovidae
Description: long non-coding RNA NONBTAT007258
Source: RNAcentral
GAAUAAGAUUUCAAAUGAAGUUUAGAUUUUAUUAAAAAUUCUACAGUAUAAAUUCAUUAUUAUUUCUGCUUAUUUAAAAACAAAAAUUGGAAAGAAUUUUAUAAACCUCUGAAGAUAUGUUACACUCUGCAAAGACUAAAUAAAAUACAAUUUUCAAAUAUUUACAAGCGAAUUUUAAGAGGUUUUAGUUAGCCUCAAAAACCUAGUGAGGCAUACUGUAUUAUCUUAUAAACUAUUGGUUGUAACAUAAUAAAUAGCUCAAUAUAAAUGAAUUUAAGCACAAACCAUAUAUCACAUAUUACAUGAAAUAGAAAAAAAUUGAUAGUGUCUUCCCCCAAAUUACCCUAGAAAUUUCAAAGAUUACAUAAUAACCAACAUACAAUUGUCAAAACAAAAUGAACAUAUGAAAUAGGAGUAUCAACUAAAAAUUGUAUGUAGUUACUAAAUUUCAUUUCUUAAUGAGCAAUUAUUGAAACUGUUAAGAACUGAUGUCCUACACAAUGGGAUCUAUGUUAUAUAAUACGACUGGCGGAGGCAGUCAAUAGAAAGUUUCAGAAAUGCAAAACAACUGCAAUUUUGUAUAUAUUGAUGCAGGACUUUUUUAAUGCAUGUUAUUCA